GAGCAAGAAGACGGGUUUGAAUGCAAGAGCAUUCUCUACUUGGAAACACACCCAGAAUGAAAAUGCUUUUCAUCACUCAUCUCUCCAACAACUGUUGAAAACAGCAUAAUCCGCUAACACAGAAAAGCUAAAUUGCUUUCAGACCAAGUACUGAAAAACUGCUUCUGUGAUUUGGUUCGGCUCAAAUCCAGAACGCAGGCUUUGACAGCUCUUGUGCUUCCUGGCUGCUUGGAGCAUCUGUCAAAGUUUAUCUUUUCCCCUAGUUUGCUUUUCUCUAGUGUAAAACUAGAGAUGUAAAAUCUUAACCCCUCUCCCCCCAGAUUAGUGGUUUUGAAAUAUGCAUUUUAAGUACACCAGAUGUUUAAAUAAUAGCAGUGCACUGGAAAUACAGACUUCUAAAUUACAUUGCAGUGGUGCUAUGGGCUGAGUCUGGGCAGGAGAAGCAAAGCUUCAGAGCAAGGUGAAGCACAUGCUACAAUUCCUUAAGCCUGGAGCAUUUUCAGUGUACUAAAACCUGUAUUAAUCAGAAGGAAAGCACUGAAAGGAUGUUUAAUCUCAUGCACUCUUUCCUUGUUCCUAAGUAGAGAGGAGGUAUUUCAUCACUGGUACAGUUACAACAAAAGCAGGGCAAUUGCAUCAGAGGAGAAUUUGGCCCAACUACUUCUCUGUAGAGAAGCUAUUGACAGCUGUCCCCAGGUACCUCGUGUUGCUGAGAAAACAGCAAGCUAAAAACAUGCCAUAAUAGAACUAGCUCCCAUUUUCUGACCUUUGGCUGAACCAGAGCUCCUAGAUUUGGAUGAUGCUUUACCUCUCUGUUACACUUCUGAUCACCAUCAGGUUUUGUUCAGUGAUCCAUCUGAAAACAUCUUCCUACCCGGGGAGCUAUGCAGCUACGCUUGCUAUGGCUGUUGCAGCUUGGAGCCACUGAGCAGUGUGCUUGCUGGGAUGCAGCAUCUUAGCUAAUUUUAGAUGUGAUGCAAUGAGUGGGGGUAGCUCACACGAGGCGGGAGGGAUGGAGCCCAGCAGCCAGCGCUCAGAACAAACACUUUAUAGUUACUGAAUGCUACUUUCAAACUAAGGGAGGCUUUUUUACUACCAGAGCACCUUUACGGAUGUGAUUGGAUACACAAGUGGUAGCUAGGACAAACCCUUCUGGGGAAGGAUAUUAGAUAAGGGUCAAUCACCAGGCUUGCUGCCCUCAGAGCUCCUGCCUUUCAGCCUUCCCCCCAAUCUCUUCCCCCUCUGAUGUUCCCGACUGGAAUGCUCUCGCUGCUCUGACAUGCAGACUGGCUUUUUUUCUGCAUGGGCACCUUUUCCUACCCCUCAUUCAAGCACUCACAGAGAUAUGGCUUAAGUCAAGUGGUUGCUUCUCUCACACUUGGUUUUCUCAACAACCUCCUGCGCCCCUUGCACAAGCCAGACUGUGAUACUCACAGAGCCAGCCUGCUCACAAACAAAUGUAUGCACAGAAUCUAUAAAUUAAUAGAAAGCAGCUCUACCUCUAGGGAAGUCUUUGCUUGCCAGAGGGGUGACCUAUCCUGACUGGUGUCCUGGCUCUGAUGCUGUGUGGGAUUGAAUCACAGGUUACACGGCCUGCUCCUCCUGGCUGACAUCUUGCUAAGAGAUCACAGACUGUUGGUGGUGGUUCACUUUGCAUCAUGCUUUAGGUUUGGAUGUUUCAAGGAGAAUUGAAGUCUUUCACUGGCAUUAGAACCUCAGCUUGGAAUGUGUUUUCCGUGGUCAGUCUAUCUCCCCAUCCACCAAAUUCCACCCACUUUUUUUGUCCACUGUCUUUAAAUAGUUAUUUGCAGAUGUUUUACUGCUGGCAAACCUUUGUCAAUAAAUCAUAAUUUAAAAACACAAA
Molecule: long non-coding RNA, 1864 nt
Organism: Strigops habroptila (Kakapo)
Lineage: Eukaryota; Metazoa; Chordata; Aves; Psittaciformes; Psittacidae
Source: Ensembl